This 858-nucleotide ribosomal RNA is filed under the name uncultured bacterium. RNAcentral describes it as "bacterial SSU rRNA". It matches the Rfam family "Bacterial small subunit ribosomal RNA", at positions 639 to 1504 of the family's 1533-position model. The record is from RNAcentral.
GACUAGAGUAUGAUAGGGGUAGAGGGAAUUUCUAGUGUAGCGGUGAAAUGCGUAGAUAUUAGAAAGAACACCGGUGGCGAAGGCGCUCUACUGGAUCAUUACUGACACUCAGAGGCGAAAGCUAGGGUAGCAAAAGGGAUUAGAUACCCCUGUAGUCCUAGCCGUAAACGAUGGAUACUAGAUGUUGCGUUUAUUAUGCAGUAUCGUAGCUAACGCGUUAAGUAUCCCGCCUGGGGAGUACGCUCGCAAGGGUGAAACUCAAAGGAAUUGACGGGGGCCCGCACAAGCGGUGGAGCAUGUGGUUUAAUUCGAUGCAACGCGAAGAACCUUACCAAGGCUUGACAUACUACAAAUUUCUUUGAAAGAGGAAAGUGCCUUCGGGAAUGUAGAUACAGGUGGUGCAUGGCUGUCGUCAGCUCGUGUCGUGAGAUGUUGGGUUAAGUCCCGCAACGAGCGCAACCCUUAUUUUUAGUUGCUAAUUUAUUAGGUUUUCUAAAGAGACUGCCGGUGACAAACCGGAGGAAGGUGAGGAUGACGUCAAGUCAGCAUGCCCCUUAUGCCUUGGGCUACACACGUGCUACAAUGGUUAAGACAAAGAGUUGCGAGCUCGCGAGAGUCAGCUAAUCUCAUAAACUUAGCCUAAGUUCGGAUUGUAGGCUGCAACUCGCCUACAUGAAGUCGGAAUCGCUAGUAAUCGCUGGUCAGCCAUACAGCGGUGAAUCCGUUCCCGGGCCUUGCACACACCGCCCGUCACACCAUGGGAGCUGGUCAUGCCCGAAACCGUUUGCUUAACCUUUCGGAGAGCGGCGUCUAAGGUAGGGUUAGUGACUGGGGUGAAGUCGUAACAAGGUAGCCGUA